GAUGAAGAACGUAGCGAAAUGCGAUAAGUAAUGUGAAUUGCAGAAUUCAGUGAAUCAUCGAAUCUUUGAACGCACAUUGCGCCCCUUGGUAUUCCGAGGGGCAUGCCUGUCCGAGCGUCAUUGCUGCCCUCAAGCACGGCUUGUGUGUUGGGCCUCCGUCCUCCUCCCGGGGGACGGGCCCGAAAGGCAGCGGCGGCACCGCGUCCGGUCCUCGAGCGUAUGGGGCUUCGUCACCCGCUCUUGUAGGCCCGGCCGGCGCUUGCCGACACAUCAAUCUUUUUUCCAGGUUGACCUCGGAUCAGGUAGGGAUACCCGCUGAACUUAAGCAUAUCAAUAAGCGGAGGA
RNAcentral lists this unclassified non-coding RNA (345 nucleotides) under soil metagenome. RNAcentral describes it as "partial contains 5.8S ribosomal RNA, internal transcribed spacer 2, and large subunit ribosomal RNA". The stretch from base 1 to 120 matches the Rfam family "5.8S ribosomal RNA", at positions 35 to 154 of the family's 154-position model. The record is from RNAcentral.